UGUUGUAUGCCGUGCUGGUUCCUGUUAGCGUGUUUGUAGGUCAGUAAAUCUGCCCUUUAGGGGCUUUUUGCCACCAAGCCUUGACAACAGCCUGUUUUCUUGUUAAAGAAACAUUUUUGAUAUUCAAAUGAGAAUAGACCUUGUGGCAGUCUCAAGCACCAAGAUACAGCAGGAGGCUGUGGGAACCUGGCCUGGAUACAUGAGAACAUGGACCUUAUCAAGUAACAGGAGAUUGUAGGCUCAAACCGGUCUGCCUCUGCCAGCACUGGAUCUUCCACCAGGACAACGAUCCCAAGCACAAUUUCACAUCCACAUGAAAAUGGUUCGCUGACCUUAGAAUCAAGCUUUUGCUUUUGUGGUCACCUGGUUCAUAAGCAAGGACCAGGGACUAUGAAGGAUCUUGACAGUUUCUGUAUGGAGGAAGGGUCUCAAAUCCCUUUCUGUAUGCUGUUUCAGCUCCUCAAGCAUCAUUGGAGAUGAUUCAGAUAUUUUCUUGACAAAGGGUCACAAAGUCCUAAAUUCAAGGUUGCCAAUAAUUAUGGGAUGUUUUAUUUAUUUUUACAAUUUUCUCUAUGAAAUGUUAGAUUCACAUAACUUGUGUAUGAUCAAGCAGAUAAACAACACAGGCUUCUUAGUUUUCUAAUGAUCAAUUAUCCUAUAAAAAUUAUAAACUUGAAUUAGCGAACACAACUUGCCAUUGGAACA
This is a long non-coding RNA of Esox lucius (northern pike), 705 nucleotides long. RefSeq lists it as uncharacterized. The record is from RefSeq and is a predicted model, not a curated record. Lineage: Eukaryota; Metazoa; Chordata; Actinopteri; Esociformes; Esocidae. The transcript is spliced from 3 exons.